AGUGAACGCUGGCGGUAGGCCUAACACAUGCAAGUCGAACGGCAGCACAGUAAGAGCUUGCUCUUACGGGUGGCGAGUGGCGGACGGGUGAGGAAUACAUCGGAAUCUACUUUUUCGUGGGGGAUAACGUAGGGAAACUUACGCUAAUACCGCAUACGACCUACGGGUGACAGCAGGGGAUCUUCGGACCUUGCGCGAUUGAAUGAGCCGAUGUCGGAUUAGCUAGUUGGCGGGGUUAAGGCCCACCAAGGCGACGAUCCGUAGCUGGUCUGAGAGGAUGAUCAGCCACACUGGAACUGAGACACGGUCGCGACUCCUACGCGAGGCCGCAGUGGGGAAUAUUGGACAAUGGGCGCAAGCCUGAUCCAGCCAUACCGCGUGGGUGCAGAUGGCCUUCGGGUUGUAAAGCCCUUUUGUUGGGAAAGAAAAGCAGCAGGUUAAUACCCCGCUGUUCUGACGGUACCCAAAGAAUAAGCACCGGCUAACUUCGUG
This 492-nucleotide ribosomal RNA is filed under the name uncultured bacterium. RNAcentral describes it as "partial 16S ribosomal RNA". It matches the Rfam family "Bacterial small subunit ribosomal RNA", at positions 29 to 507 of the family's 1533-position model. The record is from RNAcentral.